This 1072-nucleotide ribosomal RNA is filed under the name uncultured Hygrophorus. Its description in RNAcentral is "eukaryotic LSU rRNA". The stretch from base 483 to 1072 matches the Rfam family "Eukaryotic large subunit ribosomal RNA", at positions 1 to 593 of the family's 3401-position model. Lineage: Eukaryota; Fungi; Basidiomycota; Agaricomycetes; Agaricales; Hygrophoraceae. The record is from RNAcentral.
AGGAUCAUUAUUGAAUUUUGAAAGAGGGGUUGUAGCUGAUCUUUCAAAAGAUAUGUGCACACCUCUUAUUCUACACAACCCACCCAAUGUGCACCUUUCUGUAGACGGAAUGAGACGUCAUUCUGCCUAUGUUUUUUCAAAUACACAUAAUACAUUGUAAAAAAGAAUGGUUAUGAUAAUACAACUUUCAACGACGGAUCUCUUGGCUCUCGCAUCGAUGAAGAACGCAGCGAAAUGCGAUAAGUAAUGUGAAUUGCAGAAUUCAGUGAAUCAUCGAAUCUUUGAACGCACCUUGCGCUCCUUGGUAUUCCGAGGAGCAUGCCUGUUUGAGUGUCAUUAAAUUAUCAACCUCUCAAGAAGAGGCUUGGAUUUGGAGUGUUGCUGGCUUAAUGUCGGCUCCUCUUAAAUGCAUUACCUUUGUUGUAAGGCUUUGGUUUGAUAAUAUCUAUGCCAUCGCUUUUUCAACAAUCUUUUUGAAAUUUUGACCUCAAAUCAGGUAGGACUACCCGCUGAACUUAAGCAUAUCAAUAAGCGGAGGAAAAGAAACUAACAAGGAUUCCCCUAGUAACUGCGAGUGAAGCGGGAAAAGCUCAAAUUUAAAAUCUGGCAGUCUUUGGCUGUCCGAGUUGUAAUCUAGAGAAGUGCUUUCCGUGUUGGACCGUGUACAAGUCUCUUGGAAUAGAGCAUCAUAGAGGGUGAGAAUCCCGUCUUUGACACGGACUACCAAUGCUUUAUGUGAUGCGCUCUCAAAGAGUCGAGUUGUUUGGGAAUGCAGCUCAAAAUGGGUGGUAAAUUCCAUCUAAAGCUAAAUAUUGGCGAGAGACCGAUAGCGAACAAGUACCGUGAGGGAAAGAUGAAAAGAACUUUGGAAAGAGAGUUAAACAGUACGUGAAAUUGUUGAAAGGGAAACGCUUGAAGUCAGUCGCGUCGGCUAGAAAUCAACUCUUAUGGGUGUACUUUCUGGUUGUACGGGUCAGCAUCAAUUUUGAUUGUUGGAUAAAAGUCAAUAUUUAUUGCAUUUUCGGAUGCAUAGCUUUUGGUUGCAUGCAACGGUUGGGAUUGAGGAACUCAG